CCUACGGGUGGCAGCAGUGAGGAAUAUUGGUCAAUGGACGAGAGUCUGAACCAGCCAAGUAGCGUGAAGGAUGACUGCCCUAUGGGUUGUAAACUUCUUUUAUAUGGGACUAAAAUGUUCCACGUGUGGGCUUUUGUAUGUACCAUAUGAAUAAGGAUCGGCUAACUCCGUGCCAGCAGCCGCGGUAAUACGGAGGAUCCGAGCGUUAUCCGGAUUUCGUGGGUUUAAAGGGAGCGUAGGUGGAUUGUUAAGUCAGUUGUGAAAGUUUGCGGCUCAACCGUAAAAUUGCAGUUGAAACUGGCAGUCUUGAGUACAGUAGAGGUGGGCGGAAGUCGUGGUGUAGCGGUGAAAUGCGUAGAUAUCACGAAGAACUCCGAGUGCGAAGGCAGCUCACUGGACUGCAACUGACACUGAGGCUCGAAAGUGUGGGUAUCAAACAGGAUUAGAUACCCGAGUAGUC
RNAcentral lists this ribosomal RNA (460 nucleotides) under uncultured bacterium. RNAcentral describes it as "partial 16S ribosomal RNA". It matches the Rfam family "Bacterial small subunit ribosomal RNA", at positions 338 to 795 of the family's 1533-position model. The record is from RNAcentral.